This 426-nucleotide ribosomal RNA is filed under the name uncultured bacterium. Its description in RNAcentral is "bacterial SSU rRNA". It matches the Rfam family "Bacterial small subunit ribosomal RNA", at positions 354 to 796 of the family's 1533-position model. The record is from RNAcentral.
GCAAGGAAUAGUAGGCAAUGGGCGAAAGCCUGACCUCGCGACGCCGCGUGGAGGAUGACGGCCUUCGGGUCGUAAACUCCUUUUCUCGGGGAUGAAACAUGACAGUACCCGGGGAAUAAGUCACGGCUAACUACGUGCCAGCAGCCGCGGUAAAACGUAGGUGGCGAACGUUAUCCGGAUUUACUGGGCGUAAAGCGUGCGCAGGCGGCUUUUCAAGUCGGAUGUAAAAUCUCUUGGCUCAACUGGGAGGGACCAUCCGAUACUGUUAAGCUGGAGUGCAACAGAGGAGAGUGGAAUUCCCGGUGUAAUGGUGGAAUGUGUAGAUAUCGGGAGGAACACCAGUGGCGAAAGCGGCUCUCUGGGUUGUUACUGACGCUGAUGCACGAAAGCGUGGGGAGCAAACAGGAUUAGAAACCCUUGUAGUCC